Non-coding RNA from Bos taurus (domestic cattle), 57 nucleotides. The record is from Rfam. NCBI's taxonomy places the organism in Eukaryota, Metazoa, Chordata, Mammalia, Artiodactyla, Bovidae.
UGGCUCAGACGGUAAAGAAUCUGCCUGCAAUGCAGGAGACCCAGGUUCAAUCCCUGG